CAAGCCGGAGCAAAAAUCUUCACAGAAUCAAAUCUGUGGCCACUUUUAUAAUUUAUCUUAAUUGCGAGUGAAAAUUGUUAAACAAAAUUUCUUACGUUGAUAAAUCGUUUUGGUAAUUCGACAACGGGCGCAUUUUUCAACGUGACUAAAAACCGAUGUAAACACAUUCGUUUCCUUCAGUAAAUGACCUCUUGUUGUUUUAUCGACUUUAUGUUUACUGGAAAUAAUAAUGGGAUGCCGUGAGUUCCGGGAUACAAUACUCUCUAUGGCAUGUCAUUUUUUUCUUAGAGAACUAACCACGAAAGCCUUCAUGGUGUACCACAAAUUGCGUGUUUAAUACGUAACUUUUAAGUAAUUGCAACGAUUACGAUCUGUCUACUUCAUUUAACCAAAUUUAGCCUUUUACUAUCUUGCGGUCCGGAUAGGGCGACCGCAAAAAUCUGUGAACACUUUAGGCUUUCUUCAUGUGCGCAUCAGAAAGUCUCAUUUCCUUCUUCUUUUAACUGGAAUCGCCGAGAAUUUUAUCGGUGGUAUUUCGCAGGCGCCACGGUCAACUGGUAUGGUGCAACAAUCGUGGUUUCUCUAGGGACAGGGUUGGAUUCAAAAUCAAAACGAUAAUGAAACGAUAGUUUUAUUGUAUUGGAAGCCAGUGAAAGUAUAGAUCAGGAUUCAUUGAUGGUGGACAUCUAUCUCAAGAAAGCGAAGCGUCAUCAGUAAGAACAAACAGCAGCUGUUGGAAACACUGGAAUUCUUGUUGCCGUCUAUAUGGCCGAACAAAUAUCACCCACGAAAAACUGCAACGAACGUAAGAUGUGCCAAACAAGAUGGUUUCUGCACGCCUACAUGCCAUAAGGAACCAGCUUGUGAAAACCCGGUUUCUAGUUUGUAUAAGGGAUCUUUCAUCUUUGAUCGGCAACAAAAGCCGAUCGGACUGAAUAUGAAGUCACUUCAUGGGAGAACACUUUCGAGCGAAGAGUCACACCAGUAGCGCCAGGGUCAACAAGAAGCCGAAUUAAAAUAACAACUGUCAGAAUUGCACGUGAAAAGAAGUGGACUGUGGGGAAUUGAGUUUAUACUGCCUUCUACACUUCCUCACUUCCAUCCCUUUCCGUAUAUACCCAAUUGACCCAAAGAAUGAGAACAUUAA
Molecule: long non-coding RNA, 1147 nt
Organism: Photinus pyralis (common eastern firefly)
Lineage: Eukaryota; Metazoa; Arthropoda; Insecta; Coleoptera; Lampyridae
Exons: 3
Source: RefSeq, a predicted model, not a curated record